CCUGGGUCUCCCAUCAUCCAGCAGGCUUGCCCAGGCAUGUUCUCAUAGUGAAGCAGAGGGCCGGAGCAGGCGGAAAGGCACCGCCCUCUGCUGUGUCUCCUCUGCUAACAUCCUCCCGGCUAAAGUGAGUGGCUGGCUGAGCCCAGAGUCCCAGGAGUUGUGGCACGUGGGAUGCUGCCUCAGCGCGGUUUGAUGAGCAGUGCCAUGUCCACGCCCAGGAUUCGAACCAACGAAACACUGGGCCGCCUGCAGCAGAGUGUGCGACUUAACCACUCCGCCAUGGGGCCAGCCCCAUGGGAGCUUACACUUUUGAGGCAAUGACACCCAAUAAACAGAGAAACAAAGGGCCGUGAAGGGCACUGGGAAGUCCGGAAAGUGCCACGAAGAAACGGGAAGCAGGUAAGGACUCUGUCCUCCAUCGAGUGGUCAGGGAAGUCCUUCUGAUGAAAUGUUUGAGCCGAGACCUGAAGAAGCGAGAGGGAGUCAUGUGGAUACGUGGGAGGAAGGCUCCAGGUCAGGGCAACGGCAGGUACUGAGCUCUGGGGCCGGAUCUGCUUGGUGUGCUUGAGGAACAGUGAGCAGCCGGUGGCUGGAACAGAGUGUGUGAAGCAGAGACAGGAAGGCAGUGAGGUGAUGGAGAUAAGCAGGGCCAGCCACGUGGGGCUUUGUGGGUCUGGUGACGACUCUGAUUCUACUCCGCGUGUGAAGGGAGCUUUUGGAGGAUGGUGAGCAGAGAGUGAGGCAAUCCGAGUCAUAGUUUCAGAAGGCCCCCCGGGGAGCGGGGGACCCCAUUAGGAGCUUGUUGCAGUCAAGGAGAGAGUCAGUGGCAGUGAUGGGGGCCAUGGCAGGUGGUCGGAGUCAGGAUAUAGCUGGAAGUGAACCCAACAGGAUCUGCCAAAGCACUGGAGGGAAGCGAGGCGGGAGUCUGGGCGGGCUGGCACUUUGGUCUGAACAAGUGGGUCAUUGGAGUUGCUAUUUGCUUAGAUGGGAGUGCUGGCUAGGGUAGGGGCUCAGUUUUAGACAUAAAAAGUCCUCUGGGAGGAGAGAGUCUUUGGGACCUGGACAGAGUGACUGGCGUCUGAGGGAGGCAUGGGGGCUUGGGGAGCCCCACCGUCCACUGAGUGGGGGAAGCAAGAGGCCAUCAGAGGGUCACUAGUCAGUUCAUUCAUUCCGCAAAAAUUUAUUGAGCACGAAGGAUAAGUCAGACACUUUUCCACAUUCUGGGGAAACAGCAGAGAAGAGAAACAAUGUUGCCACUCUAACUUGGUACCUUACUUUCCCGUGGGGGAGAUAGACAAUGAGUAAGCAAACACAUAUAAAAAUAAGACUAUGUCACAGAAGGAUGGGUGUUACAAGGAAACACUGGAGGGUGAUGCAGAGUGACCAGAGGACUCACAGUUGGGCAGGAUGGUCACCCAGGCAGCCCCAAGGACCAAACCCAGACUCCCAGGAGGACCCUGGUCCAGUUUGGCUUCUUUUUGUCCCCCAAAGUGGCUGCUGUGUCAUGAGGAGGGUUGGGAAGAGGAGUGGACCUCCAGUGACCCUGAAGGGUCUCGGGAAGGGCUUUGUCCUAGAGGCGGGCUCCUGAGGCGGGCUGCCUCUGUGAGGCUGUCCUGGUUAUCAAGCUCUGGGCAUGAGGAAUCUUGGACAGAACAGGUGGAAGUGGAGAGCAUUCCCUUACAGCUGCCCGAAUGGACUAAGACAGGCGGAGUUCUGGCCAAUGGAGGGGGCUGCUGAAUUCCAUCCCAGGAACGUGCGGAAGGAGGUGGCUCUGGUGCUCUGCUUUUGAGAGAAGAAGGUAAGGAGGGAGCCAUGGUUUGUGGCCUGAGCUUCCUGACCAACAGUCCCUAGCCAGUCUGGCUUGCCCUGGGGAGGCUGCGGG
Long non-coding RNA from Equus caballus (horse), 1882 nucleotides. Lineage: Eukaryota; Metazoa; Chordata; Mammalia; Perissodactyla; Equidae. The record is from Ensembl.